Molecule: non-coding RNA, 69 nt
Organism: Podarcis lilfordi (Lilford's wall lizard)
Lineage: Eukaryota; Metazoa; Chordata; Lepidosauria; Squamata; Lacertidae
Source: the annotation of a GenBank genome assembly
GUCAUAGCUGAGUGGUACAGUAUCAGUUUUGCAUACAGAAGGUCCCAGGUUCAAUCCCCAGUUAAGAUU